GACGAACGCUGGCGGCGUGCUUAACACAUGCAAGUCGAACGGAAAGGCACUGCUUUUGUGGGGUGCUCGAGUGGCGAACGGGUGAGUAACACGUGAGUAACCUGCCCUUGACUUUGGGAUAACUUCAGGAAACUGGGGCUAAUACCGGAUAGGAGCUCCUGCUGCAUGGUAGGGGUUGGAACGUUGCGGCGGUUGGGGAUGGACUCGCGGCUUAUCAGCUUGUUGGUUGGGUAGUGGCUUACCAAGGCUUUGGCCGGUAGCCGGCCUGGGAGGGUGACCGGCCACAUGGGGCCUGAGAUACGGCCCAGACUCCUACGGGAGGCAGCAGUGGGGAAUAUUGCACAAUGGGCGGAAGCCUGAUGCAGCAACGCCGCGUGCGGGAUGACGGCCUUCGGGUUGUGAACCGCUUUCGCCUGUGACGAAGCGGGAGUGACGGUAAUGGGUGAAGAAGCACCGGCUAACUACGUG
Molecule: ribosomal RNA, 468 nt
Filed under: uncultured bacterium
Lineage: Bacteria
Description: partial 16S ribosomal RNA
Rfam family: Bacterial small subunit ribosomal RNA
Source: RNAcentral